GGAUGACCGGGACAUGAAGGAGGGGGAUCAGAUGCGGAUCUGGUAGCCGUCGUUGAGCGUGCUGAGCUCCGGAGGUUUCCUCUCCACCGAGGCCGGCCUAACAGACAGAGCAGAUAAACGAUUUCUGCAGUGCAUCUUUGAAAGUGAAAGAAAAAAGUGAGAAAAAAGUAAAAGAUGUGAAGCAGAUGGAAAAUGAGAGAGAUUCAGCCGUCUGCCAUUUCUCAGCAAGAGGUUCGAUAAGCCAGAAAGUCAUCAGAUUUAAUCCUCAGUGCUCUUUCUUCUCUUCUUCUUGCCCUCUCUUUUCAUAUCAUCUCCUCCUCUCUUCUCCUCCCUUUAUCCUCUCUUUUAAGGAAGCGUCCAAGCCCUCUCUCUGUGACAUAUCAAGGACAAGUGCUAAAAGUCAAACUGUUGAACUGUUUUUAUUUCUCCUCCUCUCAUCCCUCUGUUUUCCUCUGGCAGGCCUCGUCCCUCUCUCCACCUUUUUCUAACAUUUCUUCUCCUCUUUUCUUUCUGCCUGUCUUUCUUUCACAUUUUCUACCAUCCUUUACUCUCAUCUUUUACUGUUCUUCUUUUUGCCCUCUCUACUCCUAUUUCUUUGCUUUUUAUUGUUAUUGACCAUCUCUACCCAGAGGGAAGUGAGGAAGUAAGAUGUUCACAGAAUUUUAUUUUAAAAUCUAUUUGAAUGUUGUUUUUAAUAUAUUUCAAUGUCUAAUGUUAUUUCACUUAAUUUAGCUUUGUGUUGUAUUAGUUUGUGUAUAGCAGGCAGUGCUGCUAACCGCCUCCUGUAACGUCUUACCCAUGCUGCUAAAAUAACCCAGUGCUUGAAGUGUUGCAGUUAAAACCAGCAGCAGAUUAUUAAACUAUCUCUGUUGGAGUGGUCUGUCUGAAGUGGCAACAUGUUGUUAACUGUGUAAGUGCUCUGUUGAUAACAGUAAUAGCUUUUAAAGUACCACAUUCAAGUGGUUUAAAGUGGUAAUGUGCUGUUCUGCUGUGUUCUCAUCAGUCCUGAAUAGUUUUUCUGAACUGAUGAGACCAUUAACUUUUACAAAAGAUUAAAAUAACAAUGAGUCAGACUGAACCCUUAAGGGAAAGGAAGCAGAUUUAUGUUAAUGAGGACACUUUUUAACAUCCCACAACUCACAGAGUAAUAAAGUCCUUUCUCCAACUUG
This is a long non-coding RNA of Micropterus salmoides (largemouth bass), 1169 nucleotides long. RefSeq lists it as uncharacterized. The record is from RefSeq and is a predicted model, not a curated record. The transcript has 2 exons. Lineage: Eukaryota; Metazoa; Chordata; Actinopteri; Centrarchiformes; Centrarchidae.